RNAcentral lists this ribosomal RNA (492 nucleotides) under uncultured bacterium. Its description in RNAcentral is "partial 16S ribosomal RNA". It matches the Rfam family "Bacterial small subunit ribosomal RNA", at positions 29 to 507 of the family's 1533-position model. The record is from RNAcentral.
AGUGAACGCUGGCGGUAGGCCUAACACAUGCAAGUCGAACGGCAGCACAGUAAGAGCUUGCUCUUACGGGUGGCGAGUGGCGGACGUGUGAGGAAUACAUCGGAAUCUACUUUUUCGUGGGGGAUAACGUAGGGAAACUUACGCUAAUACCGCAUACGACCUACGGGUGAAAGCAGGGGAUCUUCGGACCUUGCGCGAUUGAAUGAGCCGAUGUCGGAUUAGCUAGUUGGCGGGGUAAAGGCCCACCAAUGCGACGAUCCGUAGCUGGUCUGAGAGGAUGAUCAGCCACACUGGAACUGAGACACGGUCCAGACUCCUACGGGAGGCAGCAGUGGGGAAUAUUGGACAAUGGGCGCAAGCCUGAUCCAGCCAUACCGCGUGGGUGAAGAAGGCCUUCGGGUUGUAAAGCCCUUUUGUUGGGAAAGAAAAGCAGCAGGUUAAUACCCCGCUGUUCUGACGGUACCCAAAGAAUAAGCACCGGCUAACUUCGUG